Molecule: ribosomal RNA, 406 nt
Filed under: uncultured bacterium
Lineage: Bacteria
Description: partial 16S ribosomal RNA
Rfam family: Bacterial small subunit ribosomal RNA
Source: RNAcentral
AUUGAACGCUGGCGGCAGGCCUAACACCUGCAAGUCGAACGAGUGGCGGACUGGUGAGUAAUGUCUGGGAAACGGCCUGCUGGAUGGGGAUAACCACUGGAAACGGUAGCUAAUACCGAAUACCAUCGGAUGUGCCCACAUGGGAUUUGCUAGUCGGUGGGGAAAAGGCUCACCUAGGCGACGAUCCCUAGCUGGUAUGAGAGAAUGACAAGCCAAACUGGAAAUUAGACACGGUCCAGACGCCUACGAGAGGCAGCGGUGGGGAAUGUUGCAGAAUGGGCGCAAGCCUGAUGCAGCCAUGCCGCGUGUAUGGGGAAGGCCUUCGGGUUGUAAAGUACUUUCAGCGGGGAGGCGUUACCCGCAGAAGAGGCGCCGGCUAACUCCGUGCCAGCAGCCGCGGUAAUAC